Molecule: ribosomal RNA, 454 nt
Filed under: uncultured bacterium
Lineage: Bacteria
Description: partial 16S ribosomal RNA
Rfam family: Bacterial small subunit ribosomal RNA
Source: RNAcentral
GAUGAACGCUGACCGAAUGCUUAACACAUGCAAGUCUACUUGAACUUCGGUUUGGGUGGCGGACGGGUGAGUAACGCGUAAAGAACUUGCCUCACAGUUAGGGACAACAUUUGGAAACGAAUGCUAAUACCUGAUAUUAUGAUUUUAGGGCAUCCUAGGAUUAUGAAAGCUAUAUGUGCUGUGAGAGAGCUUUGCGUCCCAUUAGCUAGUUGGAGAGGUAACGGCUCACCAAGGCGAUGAUGGGUAGCCGGCCUGAGAGGGUGAACGGCCACAAGGGGACUGAGACACGGCCCUUACUCCUACGGGAGGCAGCAGUGGGGAAUAUUGGACAAGGGACCAAAAGUCUGAUCCAGCAAUUCUGUGUGCACGAUGACGUUUUUCGGAAUGUAAAGUGCUUUCAGUUGGGAAGAAAAAAAUGACGGUACCAACAGAAGAAGAGACGGCUAAAUACGUG